RNAcentral lists this ribosomal RNA (425 nucleotides) under uncultured Methanobrevibacter sp. RNAcentral describes it as "partial 16S ribosomal RNA". The record is from RNAcentral. Lineage: Archaea; Methanobacteriati; Methanobacteriota; Methanobacteria; Methanobacteriales; Methanobacteriaceae.
GGACUACGGGGGUAUCUAAUCCGGUUCGCGCCCCUAGCUUUCGUCCCUCACCGUCAGGUUCGUUCCAGUUAGCCGCCUUCGCCACAGGUGGUCCUCCCAGGAUUACAGGAUUUCACCUCUACCCUGGGAGUACCGCUAACCUCUCCCGACCUCAAGUUCAACAGUAUCACCAGCAAUUCCCACAGUUAAGCUACAGGAUUUCACCAGUGACUUAUCAAACCGGCUACGAACGCUUUAGGCCCAAUAAAAACAGCUACCACUAGAGCUGCCGGUGUUACCGCGGCGGCUGGCACCGGUCUUGCCCAGCUCUUAUUCCAAAAGCUUUUUACACUUAAGAAAAGCCAUCCCGUUAAGAAUGGCACUUGGGAUCCCCCCGUCGCGAUUUCUCACAUUGCGGAGGUUUCGCGCCUGCUGCACCCCAUAGG